GAUAAGAACUAAAAUGCCAGAAUGGAGGGACAGUCACAGGUAGUAUGGUCUGGGGCAUCCUUCUGGUGAGAGGGCAGAGCAUUUCCAGAAAUCAAACCCCGUGUGCAAAGAAGCUCACGUACCCUUGAAGGAAGCAAGAGUCAGCAGAAAUAAGGAGAUCCUGAAAUGCCAAUAAACUGCAGAAAAAGAUCAACCCCUAUUUCCUAACCAAGAACAAUGCAUUCACCCUGUGAACCCACAAAGUUCUCAGA
Long non-coding RNA from Artibeus jamaicensis (Jamaican fruit-eating bat), 251 nucleotides. RefSeq lists it as uncharacterized. The record is from RefSeq and is a predicted model, not a curated record. NCBI's taxonomy places the organism in Eukaryota, Metazoa, Chordata, Mammalia, Chiroptera, Phyllostomidae. The transcript has 3 exons.